CGUGGCUUUUUUUAAUCGUUUCUCUCUCCUCCGUUGCGAAUAGUUUAAAAAAAAAAAGCCACGCAUGCAGAACGAUGUCGUCUCCUCCUUUCUUCUUCACCACGACGCCGUCUCCUCCUUUCUCCUUCCCCACGACGCCGUCUCCUCCUCCCCCCUCUGUCUCUACUUCUUCUUUCUCUAUUCUGAGUGUCCCCUAAGCCCCAAAUCGAAUUCGUCCAAACCCUAAGCCCUAAAUCGAUCUCGUCCAAACCCUAAACCCCAAAUCGAAUUCGUCCGAACCCUAAGGCCCAAAUCGAUCUCGUCCGAACCCUAAACCCCAAAUCGAAUUCGUUCGAACCCUAAGCCCCAAAUCAAUCUCAUCCGAACCCUAAACCCCAAAUCGAUUUCGUCCUAACCCUAAGCCCCAAAUCAAAUUUGACAAUCUGCAGUUAUCUUGCGAUUUGGGUCCUCAUCGACCUCG
This 460-nucleotide long non-coding RNA is filed under the name Eucalyptus grandis. RNAcentral describes it as "long non-coding RNA (EGRA_LNC000077)". The record is from RNAcentral. Lineage: Eukaryota; Viridiplantae; Streptophyta; Magnoliopsida; Myrtales; Myrtaceae.